GCUUACGGCCAUACCACCCUGAGAACGGCCGAUCUCGUCCGAUCUCGGAAGCUAAGCAGGGUCGGGCCUGGUUAGUACUUGGAUGGGAGACCGCCUGGGAAUACCAGGUGCUGUAAGCU
Molecule: ribosomal RNA, 119 nt
Filed under: Takifugu rubripes (torafugu)
Lineage: Eukaryota; Metazoa; Chordata; Actinopteri; Tetraodontiformes; Tetraodontidae
Source: RNAcentral